Molecule: long non-coding RNA, 759 nt
Organism: Amphimedon queenslandica
Lineage: Eukaryota; Metazoa; Porifera; Demospongiae; Haplosclerida; Niphatidae
Exons: 4
Source: RefSeq, a predicted model, not a curated record
AAUACAUGUAGAGCAAGAAACACAAUCACAAGAAACAAAAUACACACUAGCAUAUUAUAUUAGUCUUUGUUGAAUUCAAUUUCCUUCACAUAACAUGUUUUCUUUGUAUAGAUCACUUUCAUGGCAGGAGACUGAAGGAGUUCUUCUUGGAGCUCUUUCUCACUAUCAUUAGAAUCCAUGUCAGCCUGAAACAGCACAUUGGCUGACACCUCAAAUCUUCUUCGAAUCAUUAGUUGGACGAUAUUACAGUGUUGGCAUCGUGCACUUAGAGAGUCUUUGAGUUCCUUUAGAACUUUUGCAGAGCAGUUCACACAGGACACAUGCACAUUGAAGUUUGUGCAGCCGAUGAUCUUCGCUUCUACUUGACUAGUAUCCUCCUCCUCGAUCACUUUUGCAGGUGUGCUAGCAUCAUUCAUCAGCUCAAAUUUACUUGAACGAGAAAAUAAAUUUAUGGAGCCACUGCUAUUACUGAUAACGACGUCUCGAACAGUUCCAGUUGAGACAGCACGAACAGGUGCCAAGUAGACUACAGUAACAUUUAAACAGGUGUAACCUUCACAUCAAAUUUUUUUGGAGAUUGGGUAACAAGUGUCGUUUUGUUGACGAGGAUCUCCAAAUCGUCUGACCGGCUCUUCUUAAUAACACAGCUGUCGAGUAUAACGGGUUCUUGCCUUAGGUGGUAUGACGACAGCUUCUCCUGUGUAGCAACAUCAAAUCCAACGAGAGGUACUUUAUUUUUGCCAUCACUAACAAUACCCC